CGUAAUUCUAACAAAACCAAAAGACACAGGCCACGUAUGCAAAGCAAGAUGGAAGUUAAAGGCAGGGCAGCACUCCCUCUCUCGCAUGGUCCAAGGGCACAGUGAAAAUCUUUAGUCAGCAGUGAGGUUAGCUAGCGCUACUCAGGAAACUGGGCCAAUAAAACUAGUAACUAGGAGUGGCAAGAGCAGAAAUACUAUUGGGGGAGGGGGACUUGUAAUUCCCAACAAUCGAGAGGCAACCAGGAAGUCAUGGAGACGGAAAGUCUUGGAACUGGACGAUCUGGAACAUAACUCACUGCGCCACGUGUGGCACGGGGUGGUCACAAAAACAGCAGCCUCACAAGUUUAACCCCCAAGUCACAGAACGACGGUCACAUGGUGCCUAUUGUACCUCAUGCAGAAAAGCAUUUGCACUCCGAACUGCAAUAAAUAGCAGCCCUUUAGCGAAUGCCGCCCCACCCAGUGCCACCUAAAGAGGAAGCCCCCCCCCCCGAUUAGUGGUCGUUUCAACAUGAGCAAAAAAGUACAAAAACUCCAACAAGUAGCGGAGAACUAUACCCAGUAACCCCAUACAAGUGUAAAAGUUGGACAAAGGAUUACAAUGAAAAAUCCACAGCCUACAACGUCGGACCUACUCCUCCGCUGCAGACAGUACGAGUUUCCCACGCCCCCAAAUUCUAAGUCGGCCAGAGAAAAUUUGACUUUCCAGUACAAACGAGGGACUGCGGGUUGAGCUGUCAAAUUUCAAAUAAAGGAUGAUACUCUCUUCUACAA
This is a long non-coding RNA of Xenopus laevis (African clawed frog), 774 nucleotides long. RefSeq lists it as uncharacterized. The transcript is spliced from 2 exons. NCBI's taxonomy places the organism in Eukaryota, Metazoa, Chordata, Amphibia, Anura, Pipidae. The record is from RefSeq and is a predicted model, not a curated record.